This 375-nucleotide ribosomal RNA is filed under the name uncultured bacterium. RNAcentral's name for it is "bacterial SSU rRNA". It matches the Rfam family "Bacterial small subunit ribosomal RNA", at positions 524 to 898 of the family's 1533-position model. The record is from RNAcentral.
CACGUAGGUGGCGAGCGUUAUUCGGAUUCACUGGGCGUAAAGGGUCCGCAGGGGGCCUGCCAAGUCUGUCGUGAAAUCCCGGGGCUCAACCCCGGGUCUGCGGUGGAAACAGGCGGGCUGGAGUGUGUGAGGGGCAGACGGAACACCUGGUGUAGCGGUGGAAUGCGUGGAUAUCAGGUGGAACACCGAUGGCGAAGGCGGUCUGCUGGCACACAACUGACCCUCAGGGACGAAAGCGUGGGUAGCAAACAGGAUUAGAUACCCUGGUAGUCCACGCUGUAAACGUUGAGAACCAGAUAUGGUGGGGCUGGCCCCCUCCGUGUCCAAGCUAACGCGAUAAGUUCUCCGCCUGGGGACUACGGCCGCAAGGCUAAA